This 253-nucleotide ribosomal RNA is filed under the name uncultured bacterium. Its description in RNAcentral is "partial 16S ribosomal RNA". It matches the Rfam family "Bacterial small subunit ribosomal RNA", at positions 524 to 776 of the family's 1533-position model. The record is from RNAcentral.
UACGUAGGGGGCAAGCGUUGUCCGGAAUCAUUGGGCGUAAAGCGCGCGUAGGCGGCCCGGUAAGUCCGCUGUAAAAGUCAAAGGCUCAACCUUUGAAUGCCGGUGGAUACUGUCGGGCUAGAGUCCGGAAGAGGCGAGUGGAAUUCCUGGUGUAGCGGUGGAAUGCGCAGAUAUCAGGAGGAACACCGAUAGCGAAGGCAGCUCGCUGGGACGGUACUGACGCUCAGGCGCGAAAGCGUGGGGAGCGAACAGG